UACGUAGGGGGCAAGCGUUGUCCGGAUUCAUUGGGCGUAAAGAGCGUGUAGGCGGCCAGGUAGGUCGGUUGUGAAAACUGGAGGCUCAACCUUCAGAGGUCGACCGAAACCAUCUGGCUAGAGUCCGGGAGAGGAGAGUGGAAUUCCUGGUGUAGCGGUGAAAUGCGCAGAUAUCAGGAAGAACACCCGUGGCGAAAGCGGCUCUCUGGAACGGUACUGACGCUGAGACGGCGAAAGCGUGGGGAGCGAAACAGG
Molecule: ribosomal RNA, 255 nt
Filed under: uncultured bacterium
Lineage: Bacteria
Description: partial 16S ribosomal RNA
Rfam family: Bacterial small subunit ribosomal RNA
Source: RNAcentral